Molecule: ribosomal RNA, 387 nt
Filed under: uncultured Thermoplasmata archaeon
Lineage: Archaea; Methanobacteriati; Thermoplasmatota; Thermoplasmata
Description: bacterial SSU rRNA
Rfam family: Archaeal small subunit ribosomal RNA
Source: RNAcentral
UCGCGAAAACUUCACAAUGGGAGAAAUCCCGAUGAGGGAAUACCAAGUGCCAGCACUUUUGUGUUGGCUGUUCUCCUGUCUAAAAAACAGGAGAAGUAAGGGCCGGGUAAGACGGGUGCCAGCCGCCGCGGUAAUACCCGCGGCCCGAGUGGUGGUCGAUAUUAUUGAGCCUAAAACGUCCGUAGCCGGUCUCAUAAAUCCUUGGGUAAAUCGGCCAGCUUAACUGUCCGAAGUCCGAGGAGACUGUGAGACUUGGGAUCGGGAGAGGUCAGAGGUACUUCUGGGGUAGGGGUAAAAUCCUGUAAUCCUGGAAGGACCACCGGUGGCGAAGGCGUCUGACUAGAACGAAUUCGACGGUGAGGGACGAAGCCCUGGGGCGCAAACGGG